Molecule: ribosomal RNA, 449 nt
Filed under: uncultured bacterium
Lineage: Bacteria
Description: bacterial SSU rRNA
Rfam family: Bacterial small subunit ribosomal RNA
Source: RNAcentral
UGGGGAAUAUUGGACAAUGGGGGCAACCCUGAUCCAGCAAUACCGCGUGUGUGAAGAAGGCCUUCGGGUUGUAAAGCACUUUAGGCGGGGAAGAAGGCUAGUAGUUUAAGAGAUGAUUAGCUUGACUGUACCUGCAGAAUAAGCACCGGCUAACUCUGUGCCAGCAGCCGCGGUAAUACAGAGGGUGCAAGCGUUAAUCGGAUUUACUGGGCGUAAAGGGCGCGUAGGUGGUUGCGUAAGUGAGAUGUGAAAUCCCCGGGCUUAACCUGGGACGUGCAUCUUAGACUGCGUAGCUAGAGUGUAGUAGAGGGUAGUGGAAUUUCCGGUGUAGCGGUGAAAUGCGUAGAUAUCGGAAGGAACACCAGUGGCGAAGGCGGCUACCUGGACUAACACUGACACUGAGGCGCGAGAGCGUGGGGAGCAAACAGGAUUAGAUACCCCCGUAGUCC